CCCAAAUGCAGAGAGCUGACUAAUUUUUUUAAAAUUUCUUCUCUGCUAUGUUGUGUUUUCCCUGUGUAUCUGCUUCAGUCCCAGAGAUGUCAGCACAAGAUAUUAAAAAGGGGACUCUAACUACAAUUUCAGUUUCACUCUGUGAACUUGCUUUGCAUUCUCCAUGUAGAGGCUCACCUGUGAGAUAAAAGUUGCAGUGGUGGACAAUCACUUCUCCAGAUGAGAAAGAACUUUCAAGAACCAGCAAAGAAAACAUGUCAAAACUCGAAAUUCUGAAGAGCUAGCCCAUCCAGGCAGAGCUACAGGAUUACAGUUAAAAAUCAUGAAGAGAAGCCAUGCAAUGAAAGUCAAGACCUGAGUGGGACUCCAUGAUGCAACUGUGAAAAGCUCCUUAAAAACAGGAACUAUGGGCAGCUUUCAGACUUGAGAACCUCUGCAGUUUGGAUGAAUGGUGAUGUCAGCGAGGCCAGGAUUUGGCCCCGGAAAACCUCUAGUGUUACCAAGCUUAGCGGAGCUGCU
Non-coding RNA from Pelodiscus sinensis (Chinese soft-shelled turtle), 519 nucleotides. NCBI's taxonomy places the organism in Eukaryota, Metazoa, Chordata, Testudines, Trionychidae. The record is from RefSeq and is a predicted model, not a curated record.